Molecule: non-coding RNA, 356 nt
Organism: Paramuricea clavata
Lineage: Eukaryota; Metazoa; Cnidaria; Anthozoa; Malacalcyonacea; Plexauridae
Source: the annotation of a GenBank genome assembly
AGUUAAAGCGACAUGUCAAGCAAGAGGUGACCCACACUACUCGACAUUUGAUGGAACACGUUAUGACUUUAUGGGAAUAGGUGAAUAUGUUCUGGCUAAGGACAGUGUAAAUAACACAUUUGAAAUAAUACAAGUGAAUGAACCUUGUGGAAGUGGACAAGUUUCCUGCACAAAAUCACUAACAGUGAUUUUCCCAACUGUAACUAUCCAACUACUGCGGGGAAUUGUGAUGGUAAAUUACUUGGAAAUUGCUUUGCCUGCAUUCUAUGAAUGUAAGUUAUGUAGACUUCAUACUAGAUAUACUCGUUAAGAUUUGACGUUCAAGUUAUAAAUUUCAAGCUCAGUGCAUCUAGCCA